RNAcentral lists this unclassified non-coding RNA (933 nucleotides) under Hevea brasiliensis (rubber tree). The record is from RNAcentral. Lineage: Eukaryota; Viridiplantae; Streptophyta; Magnoliopsida; Malpighiales; Euphorbiaceae.
AAAGAAAGAAAAGAAAAGAAAAAUAAAGUGUUGAGACUGGGAGUUGAACCUCAGCCAACAACAUCGAACAACAGGAAAAUAAAUCCUUUAUGAUAAAAGAAAAUCAUAGAAAACAUCUUAAACCUCUUUUCUAAGGAAGGUUGUAAGUUUUGAAAACAGGAAAAUUGAUUUUCAACUCUAUUUAAAAACACAUCCAAAUUUGAACAUGAAAUUCUAUUUUAAAAUUUUUAUUGAAAAAUUUUCCAGAAAACUAGUCUAGUUUUCUAGAAAUAAACACUCCCUCCAAUUUUCCAUGGUUAAACCUUAAUGCUCAACCUUUUGAAGUUGGUGAGCUAUAAGAAAACAAAUAACGCAUGGAACUUUAUUGCUUUAUGGGGAAGCAGGCAUCCUCCUUUAUAAGGUGAGGUUUCUCCCUUAAUUGCUACAAUCUUUUCAUGUGGGAAGUAUCUCACAAGUAUCUUCCAAAUGACUUGUGGGAUGCUUAUCCCACUGCAAUUUUGAAUGUGGAGAGGAACAAGGCCUCCACCUUUAUAAAAGGUCUUACCCCCUCUUAAUGUAAUAUGCUCUUUUCCUUGGAUGCACAUAAGCCCGUUGUUGUAGUGAUUCAUCCUUUCAACUUGCUGGUGUAUUUGGUUUACUCCAGUUAGCCAGAAAAGCCAAAACAAAAUAUUGAAACUGAGAUGCUUGGUUUCUAUAUUUAAAUGAUUGAUUUCAGUUAGUACAAAUUUCAAUCCAAGGAAUUCGGUUUAGGUUAGUUUUAUCUGUACAAAGUACAAACUUAUUCAUGCACGCCUAUAUUUACAGCUUACCUAUGGAAAUAAAUUAAAUCUGUUUACAAUGGUUCUUCUUUGUGAACAUGGCUUGUUUUUAAAAUUUUAAGGGCCUUAGACUUAAGUACGAAAACCCAUGCAAGGACUUUGCGCUAUUCACAUU